Molecule: ribosomal RNA, 440 nt
Filed under: uncultured bacterium
Lineage: Bacteria
Description: partial 16S ribosomal RNA
Rfam family: Bacterial small subunit ribosomal RNA
Source: RNAcentral
CCUACGGGUGGCAGCAGUAGGGAAUAUUGCUCAAUGGGGGAAACCCUGAAGCAGCAAAGCCGCGUGGAGGAUGAAGGUUUUAGGAUUGUAAACCCCUUUUGUUAGAGAAGAAAAUGACGGUAUCUAACGAAUAAGCACCAGUUAACUCCGGGCCAGCAGCCGCGGAAAUACGGAGGGUGCAAGCGUUACUCGGAAUCACUGGGCGUAAAGAGCGCGUAGGCGGGAUAGCAAGUCAGAUGGGAAAUCCUAUGGCUUAACCAUAAAACUGCAUUUGAAACUGUUAUUCUAGAGUAUGGGAGAGGUAGGUGGAAUUCUUGGUGUAGGGGUGAAAUCCGUAGAGAUCACGAGGAAUACUCAUUGCGAAGGCAGCCUGCUAGAACCUAACUGACGCUGAUGCGCGAAAGCGUGGGGAGCAAACAGGAUUAGAUACCCGUGUAGUC